Molecule: non-coding RNA, 69 nt
Organism: Rhea pennata
Lineage: Eukaryota; Metazoa; Chordata; Aves; Rheiformes; Rheidae
Source: the annotation of a RefSeq genome assembly
GUUUCUGUAGUUGAAUUACAACGAUGGUUUUUCAGACCAUAGGUUUUGGAUAGUACCCAAGCAGGAAUU